GCGGACGUGGCGCAAUGGUAGCGUAACAGACUUCGGAUCUGUGGGUUGCGGGUUCAAAUCCCGUCGUCCGUG
Edhazardia aedis is the source of this 72-nucleotide transfer RNA. It matches the Rfam family "tRNA". From Rfam's summary of the family: Transfer RNA (tRNA) molecules are approximately 80 nucleotides in length. Their secondary structure includes four short double-helical elements and three loops (D, anti-codon, and T loops). NCBI's taxonomy places the organism in Eukaryota, Fungi, Microsporidia, Culicosporidae. The record is from Rfam.